AGAGUUUGAUCAUGGCUCAGGACGAACGCUGGCGGCGUGCUUAACACAUGCAAGUCGAACGAGGUCUUCGGACCUAGUGGCGAACGGGUGAGUAACACGUGAGGAACGUGCCCCAGAGACCGGGAUAAGCCGAGGAAACUUGGUCUAAUACCGGAUGUCCCCAUCGGAUCGCAUGGUCUGAUGAGGAAAUGGAUCCCGCUCUGGGAGCGCCUCGCGGCCUAUCAGCUAGUUGGUGGGGUAACGGCCCACCAAGGCAUCGACGGGUAGCUGGUCUGAGAGGAUGAUCAGCCACACUGGGACUGAGACACGGCCCAGACUCCUACGGGAGGCAGCAGUGGGGAAUCUUGCGCAAUGGGCGAAAGCCUGACGCAGCAACACCGCGUGCGGGAUGACGGCCCUCGGGUUGUAAACCGCUUUCAGCAGGAACGAUGAUGACGGUACCUGCAGAAGAAGCUCCGGCCAACUACGUGCCAGCAGCCGCGGUAAUACGUAGGGAGCAAGCGUUGUCCGGAUUUAUUGGGCGUAAAGAGCUCGCAGGCGGUUCGGUAAGUCGGGUGUGAAAACUCUGGGCUCAACCCGGAGAGGCCACUCGAUACUGCUGUGACUUGAGUCUGGUAGAGGAGCACGGAAUUCCUGGUGUAGCGGUGAAAUGCACAGAUAUCAGGAGGAACACCGGUGGCGAAGGCGGUGCUCUGGGCAGUACUGACGCUGAGGAGCGAAAAGCGUGGGAGCGACAGGAUAGAUAACCCUUGGUAGUCCACGCCGUAAACGUUGGGCACUAGGUGUGGGGACGUACAUCCUCCGUGCCG
RNAcentral lists this ribosomal RNA (809 nucleotides) under uncultured bacterium. RNAcentral describes it as "bacterial SSU rRNA". It matches the Rfam family "Bacterial small subunit ribosomal RNA", at positions 8 to 848 of the family's 1533-position model. The record is from RNAcentral.